CAUUAAAGAUUUCAUCAAUUUGUACUAUUAAAAACUAACGUAAUCAUCAGAAUAGCCAAAAGUGACAAAUGACAUGCCACAUGUACCUCAUAUUAAUGCAUCAGACCAGUUUUUAACAAUAAAAAUAGAUAAAAAAAUUUUAACA
This is a non-coding RNA of Gossypium raimondii (Peruvian cotton), 145 nucleotides long. The record is from Rfam. NCBI's taxonomy places the organism in Eukaryota, Viridiplantae, Streptophyta, Magnoliopsida, Malvales, Malvaceae.